Molecule: non-coding RNA, 45 nt
Filed under: Echinostoma caproni
Lineage: Eukaryota; Metazoa; Platyhelminthes; Trematoda; Plagiorchiida; Echinostomatidae
Source: RNAcentral
GCACUGCUGACGAGUCCCAAAUAGGACGAGACAGCAGUUCAGUGC